RNAcentral lists this ribosomal RNA (468 nucleotides) under uncultured bacterium. RNAcentral describes it as "partial 16S ribosomal RNA". It matches the Rfam family "Bacterial small subunit ribosomal RNA", at positions 28 to 507 of the family's 1533-position model. The record is from RNAcentral.
GACGAACGCUGGCGGCGUGCUUAGCACAUGCAAGUCGAACGGAAAGGCCCUGCUUUUGUGGGGUGCUCGAGUGGCGAACGGGUGAGUAACACGUGAGUAACCUGCCCUUGACUUUGGGAUAACUUCAGGAAACUGGGGCUAAUACCGGAUAGGAGCUCCUGCUGCAUGGUGGGGGUUGGAAAGUUUCGGCGGUUGGGGAUGGACUCGCGGCUUAUCAGCUUGUUGGUGGGGUAGUGGCUUACCAAGGCUUUGACGGGUAGCCGGCCUGAGAGGGUGACCGGCCACAUUGGGACUGAGAUACGGCCCAGACUCCUACGGGAGGCAGAAGUGGGGAAUAUUGCACAAUGGGCGGAAGCCUGAUGCAGCAACGCCGCGUGCGGGAUGACGGCCUUCGGGUUGUAAACCGCUUUCGCCUGUGACGAAGCGUGAGUGACGGUAAUGGGUAAAGAAGCACCGGCUAACUACGUG